GCUGCCUCAACGUUAAGUCAACGGAUAUGCGGACCGGAAGUAGUCGUAACGGGCGGGAUGUUGAAAAUUGAAGCAUUUCAAAUAAUAAAAAAAAGACGUUUCCAAGUUAAGUUACGUGUAUUUAAGAAAAGACUCGUCUUCCAGAAAGGCAGAGUGAGCUGAAGGACUAAUUAGCUAAAUGAGGUCGAUGACUCGAGCAAUCUACGCUGACACUAAUAGUAGCUAGCCAGUUGGCGUUGCUAGCUCGCUAACACUAGAAGUUGUUUACGGUCUGUUGUCUGUCAGGAUGGCGGACAGGAGUCUUGUGCAGGAGUUGAAACGCUGGGCGACAGAGGAGUUCAAUUUGCCCGCCGACAGCCUGCCAAAUGACAGCUAUUUUAAAACGCUCUGUGUUGGGAAAGGAAAGUCAAUAUGGAAAUAUAUCGUCCAACACGUGUAUCACCAGAGAAACGUGAGGAUCAUGCGAGGCAAUCUCCAGUGGUAUCCUUUCUGUCCCCUAUUAAGGAUUUUUACAUUACAGUGUGUGUAUGUAUGUAUGUAUGUAUGUAUGUGUGUGUGUGUGUGUGUGUGUGUGUGU
This is a long non-coding RNA of Micropterus dolomieu (smallmouth bass), 577 nucleotides long. RefSeq lists it as uncharacterized. The transcript is spliced from 3 exons. The record is from RefSeq and is a predicted model, not a curated record. Lineage: Eukaryota; Metazoa; Chordata; Actinopteri; Centrarchiformes; Centrarchidae.